UUCGGGUAUCCGGCGGACGGGUGAGUAACACGUAGGCCACCUGCCUGUAAGAUCGGGAUAACUAUCGGAAACGGUAGCUAAGACCGGAUAGCUGGUUUUCUCGCAUGAGAGAAUCAUGAAACACGGGGCAACCUGUGGCUUACAGAUGGGCCUGCGGCGCAUUAGCUAGUUGGUAGGGUAACGGCCUACCAAGGCGACGAUGCGUAGCCGACCUGAGAGGGUGAACGGCCACACUGGGACUGAGACACGGCCCAGACUCCUACGGGAGGCAGCAGUAGGGAAUCUUCCGCAAUGGACGCAAGUCUGACGGAGCAACGCCGCGUGAGUGAUGAAGGUUUUCGGAUCGUAAAGCUCUGUUGCCCUAGACGAAUAGCAAGGCGAGUAACUGCGCUUUGUGUGACGGUAUAGGAGAAGAAAGCCCCGGCUAACUACGUGCCAGCAGCCGCGGUAAUACGUAGGGGGCAAGCGUUGUCCGGAAUUAUUGGGCGUAAAGCGCGCGCAGGCGGUUAAUUAAGUUUGGUGUUUAAGCCCGGGGCUCAACCCCGGUUCGCAUCGAAAACUGGUUGACUUGAGUGUAGGAGAGGAAAGUGGAAUUCCACGUGUAGCGGUGAAAUGCGUANAGAUGUGGAGGAACACCAGUGGCGAAAGCGACUUUCUGGCCUAUAACUGACGCUGAGGCGCGAAAGCGUGGGGAGCCAACCGGAUUAAAUACCCUGGUUAUCCCCGCCGUAAACGAUGAAUGCUAGGUGUUAGGGGUUCUAUGCCCUUGGUGGCCAAAUUAACCCAGUAAGCACUCCCGCCUGGGGAGACCCCUCGCCAGAAGGGAACUCAAAGGAUUUGACGGGGACCCCGCCCAACCGGUGAAUUAUGGGUUUAAUUCCAACCACCCGCAAAA
Molecule: ribosomal RNA, 895 nt
Filed under: Firmicutes bacterium enrichment culture clone CTBE CDB1010E07
Lineage: Bacteria; Bacillati; Bacillota
Description: bacterial SSU rRNA
Rfam family: Bacterial small subunit ribosomal RNA
Source: RNAcentral